AGGACUAGUUUAAUAUAAAACAAUUGAUUUCGACUCAUUAAAUUUCAACCAUUGAAGCCUGCUACA
This 66-nucleotide transfer RNA is filed under the name Aspidoscelis sexlineatus (six-lined racerunner). RNAcentral describes it as "tRNA-Arg". The record is from RNAcentral. RNAcentral also lists the same sequence under 1 other name. Lineage: Eukaryota; Metazoa; Chordata; Lepidosauria; Squamata; Teiidae.